UGCGUAGGUGGUGAGGUAAGUCGGAUGUGAAAGCUCCGAGCUCAACUCGGAAAUGGCAUUGGAAACUACCUUGCUAGAGGGUUUGAGGGGGGACUGGAAUACUUGGUGUAGCAGUGAAAUGCGUAGAUAUCAAGUGGAACACCAGUGGCGAAGGCGAGUCCCUGGAAAACUCCUGACACUGAGGCACGAAAGCUAGGGGAGGCAAACA
This 208-nucleotide ribosomal RNA is filed under the name uncultured bacterium. RNAcentral's name for it is "partial 16S ribosomal RNA". It matches the Rfam family "Bacterial small subunit ribosomal RNA", at positions 568 to 774 of the family's 1533-position model. The record is from RNAcentral.